GAUGAACGCUGGCGGCGUGCCUAAUACAUGCAAGUCGAGCGAACGGACGAGAAGCUUGCUUCUCUGAUGUUAGCGGCGGACGGGUGAGUAACACGUGGAUAACCUACCUAUAAGACUGGGAUAACUUCGGGAAACCGGAGCUAAUACCGGAUAAUAUUUUGAACCGCAUGGUUCAAAAGUGAAAGACGGUCUUGCUGUCACUUAUAGAUGGAUCCGCGCUGCAUUAGCUAGUUGGUAAGGUAACGGCUUACCAAGGCAACGAUGCAUAGCCGACCUGAGAGGGUGCUGGCCCACACUGAAACUGAGACACGGUCCACACCCCAGGGGGGGACGGCAGUAGGGAAUUUUCCGCAAGGGGCGAAAGCCUGACGGAGCAACGCCGCGUGAGUGAUGAGGGUCUUCGGAUCGAAAAACUUUUUUAUUAGGGAAAAAAAUAUGUGAAAGUACCUGUCCACAUCUUGAGGGUACCUAAUCAGAAACCCCCGCCUAACCAGGUC
Molecule: ribosomal RNA, 497 nt
Filed under: uncultured bacterium
Lineage: Bacteria
Description: partial 16S ribosomal RNA
Rfam family: Bacterial small subunit ribosomal RNA
Source: RNAcentral